UGUUUCGCAUUUUAAGAUAUCUGAAAUCUACUCCUAGGAGAAAACUUCUUUUCUCAAAGCAUGGACACUUCAAAUAAAGGCCUUUAUAGAUGUAGAUUGGAUUAGAUCUCUUGAUGAUAGAAGGUUAACAAUGGGUUAUUGUAAUUUUGUCUUGGUCAUUUUGAAAAGUAAGAAACAAAGUAUGAUUACUAGAUCUAGUAUAGAGGCUGAAUACAGAGCCAUGACUCAAAGUGUGUGUGAAUUGUUAUGGUUACGAAAAUUAAUAGAAGAACUGAUACUAUCAUAAACAAAUAGUUUAUAAUUAUUUUGUGAUAACAAAGUUGUUAUUAGUAUUGUCCACAAUCCAGUUCAGCAUAAUCAAAUCAAGCACAUAGAAAUUGAUCGGCACUUCAUAAAGGAG
Molecule: unclassified non-coding RNA, 400 nt
Filed under: Hevea brasiliensis (rubber tree)
Lineage: Eukaryota; Viridiplantae; Streptophyta; Magnoliopsida; Malpighiales; Euphorbiaceae
Source: RNAcentral